CAGUGGGAUCAGGGGCAGUCCAGGCUGGAGUCCAGUAGCAUCAGGAACGGAGAGAUGGAAGCGUUAGGCCCAGGUUUGGCUGUUUGAAAGGAAGCUUGGCACAAUAUCCAUUGCCUUCUCCAUUUGUGAAACACCAAGCGGAGUCUGGGCAAGCUGAUGAUGCAGAGGAAAACCUGCAAAUAUACUGGUGAUCCUGAGCCUGGAGGAUGCAGUUAAACCCAGCCAAAAGUAAUUUCUGGAAAGUCAAGCCUGCUGUACAUUUUCUUGAGUUUGGCUAUGCAGCUUUCACCUGAGUCUUAUAAAAAAGCAAACAAAAAACUCAAACCAAAACAGACAAAAACCCAAACAAACAAAGCCACGCAAACCAAUCAAACAAA
Non-coding RNA from Taeniopygia guttata (zebra finch), 377 nucleotides. Lineage: Eukaryota; Metazoa; Chordata; Aves; Passeriformes; Estrildidae. The record is from RefSeq and is a predicted model, not a curated record.